RNAcentral lists this ribosomal RNA (476 nucleotides) under uncultured bacterium. Its description in RNAcentral is "bacterial SSU rRNA". It matches the Rfam family "Bacterial small subunit ribosomal RNA", at positions 32 to 507 of the family's 1533-position model. The record is from RNAcentral.
AACGCUGGCGGCGUGCUUAAUACAUGCAAGUCAACUUGACUUUAGAUAGCAAUAUCGAAAGUAGGGUGGCGCACGGGUGCGUAACGCGUAGGUAAUCUGCCCUGAGGUCUGACAUAACCCGUCGAAAGGCGGGCUAACAUCAGAUGAUAUAUAGUCACGACAUCGUGGAAAUAUCAAAUCUUCGGAGCCUUGGGAUGAGCCUGCGUCUGAUUAGGUAGUUGGCGGAGUAAUAGCCCACCAAGCCUACGAUCAGUAGCUGGUCUGAGAGGAUGAUCAGCCACACUGGAACUGAGACACGGUCCAGACUCCUACGGGAGGCAGCAGUAAGGAAUAUUGCUCAAUGGGGGGAAACCCUGAAGCAGCAACGCCGCGUGAAGGAUGAAAUACUUUUGUAUGUAAACUUCUGUAAGAUGGGAAAAAUAUUCUCCUCGGGAGAAUUGAUUGUACCAUCAGAGUAAGCCCCGGCUAACUACGUG